AUUAUAACUACCUUAUUGCUUUAAAACAUAUAAUUAAAAAAAACUUUGACCAAUAGACAUAUAAUGUAAAAGAUCUGGAGCUAUAAUUAAUGGCAAAAAAAAGUUUUUACAUAACAGUUUCUUGUGUAUAAUUCGGAGUUUAGUAUGACGUCCAUUAUCACUGUACCUGUAUACAUAUUUUUUAAGGGGCCAGCUGAAGGAUGUCUAUGGGUGCGGGAGUUUCUCACUUCAUUGAAGACCCAUUGGCUGCCUUCAACCGUUGUCUGCUCUAUGUUCGGGUUGUUGUCCCUUUGACCUAUACCCCAUUUCCUUUCUCAAAUUGAUAUUCUUCUUUUUAUAGGUUAAGACUUUUAUUUAACAUAAAUAGUCCUUGCAUAUAUUAAAUUAUUGUAUUAAGAUAAGAUGGUUGUGUUAUCUGUUUCAUUUAGUGAAUCAUUAAAUAAAGUAAUCAUCUAAAAAUGAUAAUGAGAAAAUGUUUGAGCCAGCC
Molecule: long non-coding RNA, 487 nt
Filed under: Mytilus galloprovincialis (Mediterranean mussel)
Lineage: Eukaryota; Metazoa; Mollusca; Bivalvia; Mytilida; Mytilidae
Source: RNAcentral